RNAcentral lists this ribosomal RNA (468 nucleotides) under uncultured bacterium. RNAcentral describes it as "partial 16S ribosomal RNA". It matches the Rfam family "Bacterial small subunit ribosomal RNA", at positions 28 to 507 of the family's 1533-position model. The record is from RNAcentral.
GACGAACGCUGGCGGCGUGCUUAACACAUGCAAGUCGAACGGAAAGGCCCUGCUUUUGUGGGGUGCUCGAGUGGCGAACGGGUCAGUAACACGUGAGUAACCUGCCCUUGACUUUGGGAUAACUUCAGGAAACUGGGGCUAAUACCGGAUAGGAGCUCCUGCUGCAUGGUGGGGGUUGGAAAGUUUCGGCGGUUGGGGAUGGACUCGCGGCUUAUCAGCUUGUUGGUGGGGUAGUGGCUUACCAAGGCUUUGACGGGUAGCCGGCCUGAGAGGGUGACCGGCCACAUUGGGACUGAGAUACGGCCCAGACUCCUACGGGAGGCAGCAGUGGGGAAUAUUGCACAAUGGGCGGAAGCCUGAUGCAGCAACGCCGCGUGCGGGAUGACGGCCUUCGGGUUGUAAACCGCUUUCGCCUGUGACGAAGCGUGAGUGACGGUAAUGGGUAAAGAAGCACCGGCUAACUACGUG